CAAUAGCGUAUAUUAAAGUUGUUGCAGUUAAAAAGCUCGUAGUUGGAUUUCUGAUCGAGACAUCAGGUCGGGUCCGAGAGGAUCAUGUACUUUGAUUUUGUUUUGAUCAUCCUUGGGGAGAGCAUUUCUGGCAUUCAGUUGUCGGGAUUGGGAUCCUCAUCGUUUACUGUGAAAAAAUUAGAGUGUUCAAAGCAGGCCUCGGCCUCUGAAUGCAUUAGCAUGGAAUAAUAAGAUAGGACUUUGGUGGUCUAUUUUGUUGGUUUGCACGCCAAAGUAAUGAUUAAUAGGGAUAGUUGGGGGUAUUCGUAUUCAAUUGUCAGAGGUGGAAUUCUUGGAUUUAUGGAAGACGAACUACUGCGAAAGCAUUUACCAAGGAUGUUUUCAUUAA
RNAcentral lists this ribosomal RNA (388 nucleotides) under uncultured eukaryote. Its description in RNAcentral is "partial 18S ribosomal RNA". It matches the Rfam family "Eukaryotic small subunit ribosomal RNA", at positions 592 to 976 of the family's 1831-position model. The record is from RNAcentral.